RNAcentral lists this ribosomal RNA (547 nucleotides) under uncultured bacterium. Its description in RNAcentral is "bacterial SSU rRNA". It matches the Rfam family "Bacterial small subunit ribosomal RNA", at positions 773 to 1324 of the family's 1533-position model. The record is from RNAcentral.
AGAGAAUAGAUACCCGGUAGUCCACGCCCUAAACGAUGUCAACUAGGUGUUGGGGGAGCAAUCCCUUGGUACCGCGGCUAAACGCGUGAAAGUUGACCGCCUGGGGAGUACGGUCGCAAGAUUAAAACUCAAAGGAAUUGACGGGGACCCGCACAAGCGGUGGAUGAUGUGGAUUAAUUCGAUGCAACGCGAACAACCUUACCUACCCUUGACAUGUCUGGAAGCCUGCUGAAAGGCGGGUGUGCCCGAAAGGGAACCGGAACACAGGUGCUGCAUGGCUGUCGUCAGCUCGUGUCGUGAGAUGUUGGGUUAAGUCCCGCAACGAGCGCAACCCUUGUCCUUAGUUGCUACGCAAGGGCACUCUAAGGAGACUGCCGGUGACAAACCGGAGGAAGGUGGGGAUGACGUCAAGUCCUCAUGGCCCUUAUGGGUAGGGCUUCACACGUCAUACAAUGGUCGGUACAGAGGGUAGCCAACCCGCGAGGGGGAGCCAAUCCCAGAAAGCCGAUCGUAGUCCGGAUUGCAGUCUGCAACUCGACUGCAUGAA